Molecule: ribosomal RNA, 484 nt
Filed under: uncultured bacterium
Lineage: Bacteria
Description: partial 16S ribosomal RNA
Rfam family: Bacterial small subunit ribosomal RNA
Source: RNAcentral
AUUGAACGCUGGCGGCAGGCCUAACACAUGCAAGUCGAGCGGAUGAAGGGAGCUUGCUCCUGGAUUCAGCGGCGGACGGGUGUGUAAUGCCUAGGAAUCUGCCUGGUAGUGGGGGAUAACGUCCGGAAACGGGCGCUAAUACCGCAUACGUCCUGAGGGAGAAAGUGGGGGAUCUUCGGACCUCACGCUAUCAGAUGAGCCUAGGUCGGAUUAGCUAGUUGGUGGGGUAAAGGCCUACCAAGGCGACGAUCCGUAACUGGUCUGAGAGGAUGAUCAGUCACACUGGAACUGAGACACGGUCCAGACUCCUACGGGAGGCAGCAGUGGGGAAUAUUGGACAAUGGGCGAAAGCCUGAUCCAGCCAUGCCGCGUGUGUGAAGAAGGUCUUCGGAUUGUAAAGCACUUUAAGUUGGGAGGAAGGGCAGUAAGUUAAUACCUUGCUGUUUUGACGCUACCAACAGAAUAAGCACCGGCUAACUUCGUG